RNAcentral lists this non-coding RNA (225 nucleotides) under Eubacterium sp. RNAcentral's name for it is "T-box sequence". It matches the Rfam family "T-box leader". Rfam says of the family: Uncharged tRNA acts as the effector for transcription antitermination of genes in the T-box leader family. The record is from RNAcentral. Lineage: Bacteria; Bacillati; Bacillota; Clostridia; Eubacteriales; Eubacteriaceae.
ACAAAUGCAUAGAAGAGGAAUAGUAAUUAUUGAGCGACUUUCAGAAAGCUGUCGGUUGAUGUGAGACAGUAGGAGUGAUAUAAUGAACUCGCCUUAGAGCAGCCGGCUGAACAUAUUAGUAGGUCAGGACGGAUUCCACCGUUAAAGGGAGCGGAUGUCAUGAGCAUCCAGUAAGGGCAUGUCUAUACAUGAAGUAGAGUGGUACCGCGAUGAUUCGUCUCUAUA